This 20-nucleotide ribosomal RNA is filed under the name Ichthyophthirius multifiliis. RNAcentral's name for it is "partial 28S ribosomal RNA". The record is from RNAcentral. Lineage: Eukaryota; Ciliophora; Oligohymenophorea; Hymenostomatida.
UACACCUGAUAUAAGCAAGA